UCUGGUGGCGAUGCGCCUGUGGGAAACACCCGUUCCCAUCCCGAACACGACGGUUAAGACGCAGGCGGCCGAUGGUACUGCACUGGAGACGGUGUGGGAGAGCAGGUGGCCGCCAGAU
RNAcentral lists this ribosomal RNA (118 nucleotides) under Streptococcus salivarius. RNAcentral also lists the same sequence under 4 other names. The record is from RNAcentral. Lineage: Bacteria; Bacillati; Bacillota; Bacilli; Lactobacillales; Streptococcaceae.